CCUUGUGUUGCCUAUUGCCUGCUCUCAUGCCUGAGUUUCCACAGCUUUGCCAUCAUCUUUUGAUUCUCACUGCUCUGAUUGGUGAUGCAGACAGAAUGAAAUAAUAAAAGAGAUUCCAAAAUGAAACCCAGCAACAAUUUACAGGAUGUGGAAAAGAAAUGUUAAUUCCAGAAAGCACCAGGACCCAAGACAGGAGAAAGUAUGCAUGGCGCAGCCAGAUAAGGUUUUACCAUAACAAGUAGCAGCAUGUCCACUUCUAACGCUGCUGUUCCUGUGGCUGGUGAUGAUAACAAUGGAGAAUCACAGACUUGGGAGGUGGAGAAAGUCAAGAAUCCCAUCACGCAUAUUAAAUCUUCACAACCACAGUUGGUGAGAUGUAUGGAGAACUUGAAUUCAGGAAAUUAAGCAUCUUGCUACGGAUUAUGCAGAUGAUAUGCAUACAGCAUGCUUCUGAGGCUGAGGCUAGGCUGCAGAAGAUGCUCUUCUGGGCUCAAGCACAGCUUGACAUUGAUUCUGCCACCUGUCCUGAGACCUAAUUUUUUUUUUUCUUCAGACUAGCUGCUCAACCAUCAAUGAGUCCCCAACUUCCUCAUCAGUAAAAUGGGGGUUGUUACACUCAUCACAACAGAUAAUUGAAGAAUGAAGAAAGGAUGGGGAGUUGCACAGGGGAUAAAAGUGCCUGCUGUGCAAGCCUGGUGGUGUCAUCGGUAUCCAUGUAAAAGCUGUAUGCAGUAGCUCAAAUGUCUCUAAUCCCAGAGUGCCUAAAAGAAAUAGGAGACUUUAUCUUGA
Molecule: long non-coding RNA, 789 nt
Organism: Peromyscus eremicus (cactus mouse)
Lineage: Eukaryota; Metazoa; Chordata; Mammalia; Rodentia; Cricetidae
Exons: 3
Source: RefSeq, a predicted model, not a curated record